This 279-nucleotide ribosomal RNA is filed under the name uncultured Anaerolineaceae bacterium. RNAcentral's name for it is "partial 16S ribosomal RNA". It matches the Rfam family "Bacterial small subunit ribosomal RNA", at positions 1090 to 1382 of the family's 1533-position model. The record is from RNAcentral. Lineage: Bacteria; Bacillati; Chloroflexota; Anaerolineae; Anaerolineales; Anaerolineaceae.
UAACGAGCGCAACCCUCGCUGUGUGUUACAAGUGUCACACGGAACUGCCGGUCAUAAACCGGAGGAAGUGGGGAUGACGUCAAGUCAGCAUGGCCUUUAUAUCCUGGGCUACACACACGCUACAAUGGGAAGGGACAAUAGGUUGCGAAGCCGCGAGGUGGAGCCAAUCCAGCAAAACUUCCCUCAGUUCAGAUUGCAGGCUGCAACUCGCCUGCAUGAAGUUGGAGUUGCUAGUAAACGCAGGUCAGCCAUACUGCGUUGAAUACGUUCCCGGGGCUU